UUAGGAAUCUUCCACAAUGGGCGAAAGCCUGAUGGAGGGACGCCGCGUGAGGGAUGAAGGCCUUAGGGUUGUAAACCUCUAAAAGAGGGACGAUAAUGACGGUACCUCUUGAAUAGCACCGGCUAACUCCGUGCCAGCAGCCGCGGUAAUACGGAGGGUGCAAGCGUUAUCCGGAAUCACUGGGCGUAAAGGGCGCGUAGGCGGUCUGUUAAGUCCGAUGUUAAAUCCCGGGGCUCAACCCCGGAUAAGCGUUGGAUACUGGCAGGCUAGACGGUUGGAGAGGCGAGUGGAAUUACCAGUGUAGCGGUGGAAUGCGUAGAUACUGGUAGGAACACCCAUUGCGAAGGCAGCUCGCUGGACAACACGUGACGCUGAGGCGCGAAAGUGUGGGGAGCAAACC
Molecule: ribosomal RNA, 400 nt
Filed under: uncultured bacterium
Lineage: Bacteria
Description: bacterial SSU rRNA
Rfam family: Bacterial small subunit ribosomal RNA
Source: RNAcentral